UACGUAGGGUGCAAGCGUUGUCCGGAAUUAUUGGGCGUAAAGAGCUCGUAGGCGGUCUGUCGCGUCGGCUGUGAAACCCGGGGCUCAACCCGGGCCUGCAGUCGAUACGGGCAGACUAGAGUGCGGUAGGGGAGACUGGAAUUCCUGGUGUAGCGGUGAAAUGCGCAGAUAUCAGGAGGAACACCGGUGGCGAAGGCGGGUCUCUGGGCCGUAACUGACGCUGAGGAGCGAAAGCGUGGGAGCGAACAGG
Molecule: ribosomal RNA, 250 nt
Filed under: uncultured bacterium
Lineage: Bacteria
Description: partial 16S ribosomal RNA
Rfam family: Bacterial small subunit ribosomal RNA
Source: RNAcentral